GAUGAACGCUGGCGGCGUGCUUAACACAUGCAAGUCGAACGGGAAAUAUUUCAUUGAGACUUCGGUGGAUUUGAUUUAUUUCUAGUGGCGGACGGGUGAGUAACGCGUGGGUAACCUGCCUUAUACAGGGGGAUAACAGUCAGAAAUGGCUGCUAAUACCGCAUAAGCGCACAGAGCUGCAUGGCUCAGUGUGAAAAACUCCGGUGGUAUAAGAUGGACCCGCGUUGGAUUAGCUAGUUGGUGGGGUAACGGCCCACCAAGGCGACGAUCCAUAGCCGGCCUGUGAGGGUGAACGGCCACAUUGGGACUGAGACACGGCCCAGACUCCUACGGGAGGCAGCAGUGGGGAAUAUUGCACAAUGGGGGAAACCCUGAUGCAGCGACGCCGCGUGAAGGAAGAAGUAUCUCGGUAUGUAAACUUCUAUCAGCAGGGAAGAUAGUGACGGUACCUGACUAAGAAGCCCCGGCUAACUACGUG
RNAcentral lists this ribosomal RNA (478 nucleotides) under uncultured bacterium. Its description in RNAcentral is "partial 16S ribosomal RNA". It matches the Rfam family "Bacterial small subunit ribosomal RNA", at positions 28 to 507 of the family's 1533-position model. The record is from RNAcentral.